AACGAACGCUGGCGGCAGGCUUAACACAUGCAAGUCGAACGCCCCGCAAGGGGAGUGGCAGACGGGUGAGUAACACGUGGGAACAUACCCUUUGGUUCGGAAAAACUUCGGGAAACUGAGGCUAAUACCGGAUACGCCCCUGGACUUGUUCUGGGGGGAAAGAUUGAUCGCCGAAGGAUUGGCCCGCGUUCGAUUAGCUAGUUGGUACGGUAAUGGCGUACCAAGGCGACGAUCGAUAGCUGGUCUGAGAGGAUGGCCAGCCACAUUGGGACUGAGACACGGCCCAAACUCCUACGGGAGGCAGCAGUGGGGAAUAUUGGACAAUGGGCGCAAGCCUGAUCCAGCCAUGCCGCGUGAGUGAUGACGGCCUUAGGGUUGUAAAGCUCUUUCGCACGCGACGAUAAUGACGGUAGCGUGAGAAGAAGCCCCGGCUAACUUCGUGC
RNAcentral lists this ribosomal RNA (443 nucleotides) under uncultured bacterium. Its description in RNAcentral is "bacterial SSU rRNA". It matches the Rfam family "Bacterial small subunit ribosomal RNA", at positions 29 to 508 of the family's 1533-position model. The record is from RNAcentral.